RNAcentral lists this ribosomal RNA (211 nucleotides) under uncultured bacterium. RNAcentral's name for it is "partial 16S ribosomal RNA". It matches the Rfam family "Bacterial small subunit ribosomal RNA", at positions 134 to 334 of the family's 1533-position model. The record is from RNAcentral.
UUGAUGGGGAGUAACAGCUGGAAACGACUGCUAAUACCGAAUACGCUCAUGAUGAACUUUGUGAGGAAAGGUGGCCUCUGCUUGCAAGCUAUCGCAUAGAGAUGAGUCCGCGUCCCAUUAGCUAGUUGGUGGGGUAACGGCCUACCAAGGCAACGAUGGGUAGCCGAUCUGAGAGGAUGAUCGGCCACACUGGAACUGAAACACGGUCCAG